Balaenoptera musculus (blue whale) is the source of this 12541-nucleotide long non-coding RNA. RefSeq lists it as uncharacterized. The transcript is spliced from 8 exons. The record is from RefSeq and is a predicted model, not a curated record. NCBI's taxonomy places the organism in Eukaryota, Metazoa, Chordata, Mammalia, Artiodactyla, Balaenopteridae.
CGGCAGGGUGACCAGCCCCGCGCAGUGGUCCCGGGGAGCCACCGGGCAGACCCGGCCGCCUAGCACGCCCUCCACGCACACCAGAUUAUCCUGCAAGGACUCAAUACUUUUAACUACUAUGCUAAAUUGCUUCUUGAAGGUCUUGGUGUCAUCACACAGAUGAGUGCAUUAAAAAAAAAAUGGAGCCUUAAAAUAAAAAAAUAUUAACAACACUAAGGUACCAUGUACUCUUCUGUACCUUGAUAUUUUUCACUUAAGUAAUUUUGGAGGUUUUUCCAGAACAGUACAUGUAGAUCAAGCUCAUUUUCAAUGCUGCAUGGUAUUCCAGGAUGGAGAUCUGGGGAGACAGAGUGGUAAGAAGAAUGGAAAAGAUCUUUCCUGAUUGAUAUUAUUGUGGUCAGUCUUCUCCAGACUCGGCAGAUAUUUUAAGGUAACUCUCUUAUGUGGGGAUUCUUCAGAAACCCACCGAUGAAAGAAGACACCUCCAUUAAAACAGACUUCUGGAUUUCCAUCAGUGACAGGCUUCUGGAGGGGCAGAGCCAAGUGGCAGCCCUUGACAGCCAGCAGCAAGGUGGGUGCAGUUACUAUAAUGGGCAGAGUGUCUGCAGCAGCAAGCAGAGUAUUUCAGCACACAAGAAUCUUUGAUGUUUGUUAAUUGUUCAUGGUGGCCCUAGGACCAAAACAGAUUGGAAUUCUACUAGGAAUCACUUGAUUUAUGUAACUGGGAAAUCUCUAGAUCCGGUGACUAGAAACCUGAGUUGUUCAAUGUAGAGUCAUAGCUCAUCACCCAAGUCUCAGAUCUGAAUCAGUUCAAAGACAUAGAAAUGCCCGGAUAACUGAUUUUGCAGCUGGGUCCAAGGAGUAGCAGCAGCAACAGCACCUGGGAAUUUGUUCGAAAUGCAAAUUUCCAGACCCUUCCCCAGCCCUAUGGACGCAAACACUCUGGAGGAGGGUCCAGCAGUCUUUGUUUUAGCAGGAACUUCAGCUGAGUCCUGUGCAUGCUAAGGUCUGAGAACUCUGACCUUAAGAGAAGGAGAGGCUGGGAAGCCUUGAGAAGGGACCCUGUAACAUUGCUGUAAGUACCUAGUGUAAGUCUUCCUUUAAGUCUUCUCCAGAAGAUCUGCAGCCAUUAACUAGGGUAACUGCAGUGAGGAAGGAGGAAUAUCCAGGCCUUUGGGACAUUUCUAGACGUUAGCUCUGAGUCGAUGCUAAUCUGUAAAGCUCCAACAUGCCUCUGGACCACGGAGAGGGGUUGGGGGUAGGGGUCUCAUGUGGUGAUCAAAUGAUAAAUGAAACUUUGGGGUGUGGCUGCUUCACAGUGGGUCUACUCACCCCCACUAUGGUUAUUUUCCCAUCCCUGAAUAGAGCUGUAAUAGGUGUCCUCAGCGACUAAAAGAACCCCUGUAUUGAUUCCCUGACCUGGGUGAUGAGCCUCAUUAUGGUAGGCAGGACCAUGCGGAAGCUACCUGGAAUUUCCUCUUCUUACCUAAGAGUAAACUGAAAGCAAUACCGCAUCCCUGGGAGAACUGCAGAGAUUAGUAUUUCCAUCUAAUACUUGAACAAUACAGGGGUUGUUCCACCACAUCCUCAUUUAACUUAUCUGUUUGGCAUGACAGAAGGAAGAUGGUUAUUGGAGAAUGACUAUGGAUUCUUAUAGAAUCAUUCAGGUACCGGACCAGAUGUAGUCUCUUUACUGGAUAACACAACAGUGCUUCUGGUACUUUGAAGGCAACUAUUGAUCUGGCAGAUGCUUUUUUUUUUCUCAAUACCAAAUUAGCAAAGAUCACCAGAUGGAGUUUGCUCCCAAUUAGCAGGAUCAGCAAAACACCCUCCCUGUCUUACUUCAGACCUCUGUGACUCUUCCGCUGUCUGACAAGAUCUUGUCUGCAGGGGCCUUGAUCAUCUUGAUACUCCCCAGAACACCAUGCUAAUAUAUGACAUUAUUGACAUGGUGAGCAGGAAGCAGCACAUACUCUAGAUGCCUUAAUAAGACAUAUGUAUGCCAGAGGGUGGGACAGAAACUCCAAGAAAAGUCAAAGGCCUACUACCUCAGUGAAGUUUCUAAGGGGUCCAGUGGUCUGAGAAAUGUUGGCAUUUCGUCUCCAAAUUGAAGGGCAAAUUGCUAUACUUUGUACCACCUACCACUGAGAAAGAGCUAUAGUGUUCUCUAUCUCUUGAUUUUUGAGAUAACAUAGGCUCUUUCUGAGUGUAUUGUUCAAAGCAACAUUUGAGUAAUCCACAAAGCUGCCAAGUUUUGUGUGGGGACCAGCGCAUAAAAAGCCUCCCUAGCAGCGUUUCUCAACAUCAUCAGUGUUGACAUUUGGGGGACAAAGAAUUCUUCGAUGUGGGAGGCUACUUGCGAAUUGUAAGAUGUUGUUUAGCAGCAUCCCUGGCCUCUAUCCCCGGUUGUGACAUCCAGAAAUCUCUACAGACAUCGCCAGAUAUCCUUGGGGGAGCAAAACUGCCCUCACUUGAGAAUCCCUGACCUACAGCAUGUCUAGGUAAGCCUCGAGGUGAGUAAAGCACUGGCUGACACUUAACUGCAACCUCGUGAGAGACCCCGAGCCAGAUCUUUCUAACUAAGCUAAUUCCUCGAUUCCUGACUCUCAGAAACCAUGAGAGAUAAUGAAUGCUUGUUGCUAAGUUUGGGGAUAAUUUGUUUUGCAGCAAUACACUGAUCCACCAAGCCAUACGGUUGGCGUACACAGCAGCAAUUGUCCAGUGUAGGUAGUGUACACCAGACUGGAGUUGAGCAGGUCCUGAAUGUGCAGAUGGUGGAGGAAGAAACUGUUUGGACCAGGUUCACAGAUGGUUCCUUACAAUUUGAAGGCAUCAGAUAGAUGUGGACUGUAGAAGCAUUACAGCCCAAAGCAGGAAUGGGUUGUGAAGCAGAGGAAGGUGCUAUUAGAAGUACCAGGUCUGACAUGAACACGAAUUGGUUUUACCUCUUGCUGGUAUGUAUUCCCUAUGCUCAGGUUCAAAGAAAACCCAGAAAACUCUUAGAUCUCCAUCUGAAUUUCAGUCAAAGGAUUCAGUUCUGCGUCUUUCAUCCCAGCCCAGUUUUCCUGUCAGGAGCACCACUGGUUUUCUCUUUAGCUGUCAGCACAUUUGGAACAGAUUUUUCUUUCUGGCAAAAGAUUCUACAGCAGUCUAGAUUUUAGUUUAUAAUUUCAUUAUAAAUAAGAGAGACUUUUAAAGAGUCACUUCAGAAUCACUGCACAGCUUCAUCUGGGAUUUGGCCAACAGUUGUUAGAGUUCUAUUAAAUCAGCUUUCUUCUAACAGUGAAAAGAAGAGGUGGAAAGUUUGUAUUUUCUCAAGUCCUCAACAGCUCCAUCAAAUAGCUAAGAAUGAUUAAAAAUAAAACAACAUGGAGUAUUUUGGGACUGUACAUUCUACUUUUGUUUUGUUUCCCUAAAGAUGAAGAGAAUUGAGAAAAUGUCAUCUUGGCAUAUGUAAUUUGAAGUCUGUCCCUUCUACCCGCGCCUAGAAUCCUCUUGUUAGGCAUAACAUAGGGUGUGCAAUAUGUUGUUAUUACAGACAGGGCUUAGCUUGUAGCUGACAAAGGAGUACUGCUAUGACAGAAGAUGGAAUUUUUAUUUGUAAUGGAAGAAAGGGUUGACUUUCUAAAUACCUAGUGGUAGAUCGCAAUUUUAAAGUAAGCUAGAUAAAAAUCUAUUUUAAGAGCCCUGUUGCUUCCUAAGAGUGAAACUAGAAUUUCCCUUCUUAACCCCAAGAUAGAUAAACACUUCUGUUUCACACGAAACACCACAAGUCAAACGAUGGCCAGACUUGCAGUUUCCCAUUAGAAAAUACCUCGGUUCAUUCAACAGUAAAUAUUAAUGAACACUUGUGAAGUGCCAGCUACUCUGUUAGAAGCUGUAUUAGUACGGGGUUGAACACAAGAGACCAAAGUCCCUGUCUUUAUAGAGCUCAUGCAAGCUUCUCGUAAGGGCUUCUGGAGUGAAUUGAAACAUUAACAAAGCGUUGAUACGAUGAACAAACUAGUGUUCUUCACUAAAUGGGUGAAAUCACAAAUGUGAUAAGAAUCAUAAAUUUUAAAAUACUACAUAAAGAACUUCUGCGACAUUCUUUUCCUUUAUGUAGCACCGAGGUCCCUGAAUUUCUUCACUGUUGUGCUAAUUGUAAUGAACAGAACUCUUAUAUUCAUUUGUCCUGUGCAAAGUGUUGUUUUCCGGAAACCCAUCUCGCCGAAGAGAAAAAAGUCUCUUUUCUGGGGAGAUUCAGACAUGGAGCUGUAAAUGAUUCUGGCAGGAUGCGUGCUGAAGGGAGAGGAUAUUAGCAAUUGGAAAAUGGCUUUGUUGCCAGAGGCUACAUACGAAGGCAUUAGAAGCCACAUGAUAGAAUUAGAUGGAGGAUCUGUGCAGGUCUGGUUAAGCUCAAAAUGUCUAACAACCCACCAGGAAUUGAUUGUAGGACAGCCUUAGAGCAGCCAAAUGUACCUUUUAUUAUCUCUGAGAAGGGAGUCUUAUUUUGAAAUCCAGAAUUUUGGAAGAGUGAUCAUGACUAAAGUCCUAGCUGCUUUGCUCUAUUCCACCCACCCCGCUCCUCAGUUUUGGUACCCAGCUGCAUCCCACUGUGCCUUCUCAUUUGAAAGAGCUCCAACCUUGAACGUCCCCAUUGCUGAAAAAGGAAAGAGGAAGAGAAAGAGGAAGGAAGGAAAUACUUCUCUGCUACUGCAAGUGAUUUGAAGGUUUGGGACUGUGCUGGCUGAUGCACAGCCGCUUCUGUCCUUAGACACGUCCCAACCAUCUGGUCACCUGGGCUCCCCCCUCCAUCUGGCUCUAAUCAUCUCAGCCAAACUAAGGGUUGUUUGUUGGUGGUUGUGAUUUUCUUUUCUUAAAUUUCCCGUUAAUUUUGUCCUGCCUUAGUUUUGUUUUCCUUUUAGUAAUGCAAGUCUUGAAUAAAUUAAUUUGUUGCUCAUGGGCAAAAAAGUGGCUUCAGCAACCAGCCCAAAACAUCCUCAAGCUAUAACAAUGUUGAUUCACCUGUAAAAAUCUGCAUUUAUUCUCCACACACUUAAUGGUGUCUUCCUUUUGGGCCAUGAACACACCCAUUAUAUUUCUCCGGGGGCUAAGAGGACACCUCAGCACAGGUCCUACAGUUCUUCCAGAAAGAGGUGUCCCGAAAGCAGAUGGAAGGAUAGGAGGCUGCAUCAGAGAAGAGCUUAGGCUUGAUUUCUGUUAAGUCCUUUCUGAUUUUUUUUUUAAACCCACGCACAUGUUUAUUUAAAUAGCUGAAGAGUUUAUAAUCCUGGACAUUGAAGAUAAAUACAUUUUCUCUUAGAUGUUUUGACUUGGUUUGAGCUAUGUUUCCUUGUGUUACAAAAUGGUCUGGCUCUUUUAGGAAGCCACAAGUUGUAGACACUGAAUUGAGCUGAAUCAUUUAUCCAGAGAGAGCAUUAGGAACAGGUGGGAGCAGUUACUAGAGGUAAAACAGAGACCCAGGAAGAACAAAAUGACUCUCUAGGAAAUGUUCCAAUGCCUCAAGACCAGAGGGAUGGGGGGAGAAUUCACAGGCACCAUCUUGCUAAUGAUGACCACACCCUGUGCGCAGGGAAGGCGGGGCAUUCCCUGUAUUAGAGAGCAGCGGGCAUCCUGCAGCCAGGAGAUCCACGCUGUCACUCUGUCUCAGUCUACAGGUUUGGUGGCCCGUAGAUCCCCCUCCUCAUAAAAUUCACUGGCUUCUGAGCACCUCCUGUGGCCCUUAAGAAAGAAUCAGUUGCUUUGUGACCACUUUGUCCAACCAGUUAGGUUUCAGCAGUUCAACUGCUGAAACCAGUUAGAGAUACACUUAAGUAUCACUUAAGUAUCUUCAGUGAGUUAGUGGAUGAUAUUAAAAAUCACAGUAGGAUUAAGUGAAGACAACAGGACAUACUGUUGUCUCAAAUGCAAACAAAAAUAGGAUCUACAAAUAAUAAAUGACCAGAAGGACUAGUAUUAAAAGUUUAAAGUUCGUUAUAUCUGGGCUACGAGCUUAUGGAUCGUUUUUAGGUCCUAUAUUUAUUCGUAUUUUUAUGUGUUAUCUAUUACUUCUCAACGUGGCAUAAAUAGUGGUGCUUGAUGCUUGGACCACCCCCCCACCCUUCAGUUAAAUACUUCCUGAGCACACACUGUGCGUGGCGCCCGGCGCAGGGAGCAAAGCUGAGCACGUUCCAGGGCUUUACCUUGAACUACCGCCUCCGUGACUCUGACAGCACCGGCCCCUCCUCCAGGAUGAGAUCCUGAGCUUUUAUUCCCUUCACAGGCCCAGGACUCCCGGCUGGUCCUGCAGUGUUGGUAGUAUACUCUCUCAGGUAUGGGCGAGGCUCCCUCCUGCUCUUCCUUCAGACCCAGCUCGGAUGUCAGCACAUCAGGAGGGCUUUCCGGACCACCCGAUGUGAUCAUGCCCUCACCUCCCACCAGGCCGGAUUCCCUGUCGUGCUUUGAUUUUCUUCAUGGCGUUUGUCAAUAUGUAUCUCUGUAGGGCCCCGGGGAAUGCAGACAGGCCACGUCACACUCCUGAAGUUGCCAAAAAUCCCUUUAAAAUGAUCCAACAGAUGUCCUUCCUUGGGGUCGAGCGGAUAUAAAUCACAACGGUCUGCUUUCAAUUCCUAACUCGGUGUCUUAGGGGCAGCAAAAUCAAUCACUCUCAGGGAUGAUGAGAUGGACCCUUUGUCUAAAAACAGUAAGUGAGGAGGAUACAGAGAAGCAAUUGAAGGAAACAAAGGCAAAAGUGGGAAGUCCCCCUCUGGCAAGCAGCUCCAAGAAGACAGAGCUGGUGCCAGAAUGGAAACCUUGGGACUCCAGUUGCUGCAUAAAAAAAAUAAAUAGAGGAACAAAAAUAACACCCACAUCUCCAUGCUGGACAGCAGAAGAGCAAGAAGUUGCCGAACAUUUGUUUUUUUUUUGUUUUUGCUAGAUUAUUUUUUACUCUCUAAAUCUAAGCUCCUAUAUUCCCCUUCUUCCCUGUUUCUAUAUGUUAGAAGCUCAGUACAAAUGAAAAAAAAAAAAAAAAAAAAAAACCAAAAAAGCCCCCAAAAAAACCCCAGAACAAAAGCAUUAAGGCUGGGUGCUUCAUUUAUUGUCAACAGGGAUGUUUCAGACUAUUGUUAAACUAGAAGGGACUCAAUGCUUUAGAAACAUCUCAUCACUCAAUUUAGUGAUUUUCAUAUACUUUUGUUAGACUGCCAUGCAGCAAAACAUGGAACUCCUCCCCAGUCCCCUCUACUUCUUCCAUCUCUCAUCAAGGCAGUUUCCUUGUUAUGGUGAAGGGAAAACUGGAUACAACUGCAGUAUUUCUAGUCCUAUCUGAUGAAUAAUACUCAGCCCAUUUCAUCACCUGAGCCUUUAAGACAUAGUAACUCUUAAGGACCCUGUUAGAUGGGGUUGGGGGAAGCGUCUUGCCCUGUGAAAACAGAUUCAUGCUAGGAGAGGUCAACAAAGACAAUAAAAUAAAUACUUAUUACAUGCUUACUAGAUGCCAGACAGAGUGUCAAGUAAUAAAUGAGCAUUAUCUUAAUUAAUUCUAAUAAUGAAUCCUUCUGCAAGAGAGGUAGGUAUUCAUAUCAACCCCAGUUUACAGAUGAGGAACCUCUUGGAGAGGUUAAGUAACUUGCCCAAGGUCACACAGCUAGUAAGUGGUAGAGCUGGGAGCUAAUCCAGGUCUAACACAGUAUUCAUUAUCUUAAUCCCUAAACUAUAAUGUCACUUGAGUAUGGUGAUAAUAGAAGUAGUGAGAAUCGCCAAGGUAAUAAAAAAUAAAUAAAAUUCAAGCUCAUAAUUUCUCAAUCUGAGGUCACCAAAGGUGGUCCAUGGUUUGGGUUGGGGAGAGUCUAUGAAUUAUUUUCAACAAUUCAAAUAGUCUAAUCCAUGGGUUCUUUGUCUUUUGUGUGCCAUGGACCCCUAUGGCUGUUUAAUGUAGCCUAUAGAUACCUCUCAGAAUAAUGUUUUUAAAUACAUGAUUCACUCAUAUAUAUAUUAUGAUACAUAUCAUAAUAUAUAUACAUAUAUAUUUAGAUUACAAAUGAAGCCAUUACAUUGAAAUGAUCAAAACAGCUAAACAUGAAUUUGUGAUACAUCAACAUACACCUUUCUAUAUGAACACAUAUAGAAGAGCAACCCGUGGGUCUGAUAACUCCUGUAACUUUAAUGUAGUGAUGGUCAUAAGCAUUGUUCCUAGCUAUUUGCAACAGCAUCUGUGUUUGAUAUGAAAAUAUCUCUGCUUUCUACGGUGACAAAGCCAAAGGCACUGCUAAUACUGCUGUGGUUUGUUGCCUACAUUCAUAAUGGAAGGAAAUGAUGUUUCAGUUAGAGGUUAGUGAAAAUAAAGACGCAAUUUUUUUCCCUUCUAAGUUCACUGACCCCUUGAAUCCUAACCAUAAACCCUUAACCCAGGUUAGGAAUCUAUUAAAUAACCUAACGAUCACCUAAUGGAAGUGCUAAGUUUACUCCUGAUAAGGCUUCAGUCUAAAUCAUUGCAUUUUUAUUUUUGCUUUGGCAUGGAACUAAUUGUAUCAAUCUAUUAUAUCAAUAGUAUUUGAUCAAUAAUUAAUAUCCAGAAACACACUGUUACUGGUGGGCAACAUCUUUGCUGAGAACUCUUCUGGAUGAUGUUUACAGGAGACCCUGCUUGAUCUAGUUGUAUCUUUGUUGGAAAGUAACAGAAGACUUUGCACAUGAGGAUCACAUCAUUUCAGUAUGGGACAGAAUGCUGCUGGGAAAAGGAAGCUAAUGUUUUGAGUAAAUAAAAGAGUUCUUCUACGAGUCUAAAUUACCAGUGGUCUAUCAGUAUUUUGAGAGAACAAAGGUCACUUGUAAACCUACAAUGCAUGGCAGGGAACUGAGGUUUAAAAUUUAGUUUAAGGUUUUGGCUGAGGAUUUCAGAGAACCAGAGCCAUACCAGUAAAUACUGUUGACUAGAGGACACUUUUCUAAAUGUGAUGCUUCAGAUCAAUGGCUGGUUUGUUAAGAGUAAAUCUAUGUUCUCAGGUUUCUGGUUGGCCUGUAAGUAACUAAAAUAGGUCAGGAUCUAGAGCACCCUUUAGGCAUCAGAACGGAAGUUUAUCCAAACGUAAGCCACACAGGAUUCCUGCAAGACGGAAGCCAUUUCCUUAUCAAUAGAGGAACAAAAGACAUCACAGUUUAGGGUUCCCCAAAACCAGCUGCAUAUUAAAUUCCCUAAGAAGCUUAAAUAUUGAUGCUCAGGUCUUACCCCAGACCAGUAAAGUCAGAAUAUCUGGAAAUAGACCUUGGGAAUCUAUAUUUGCAAGGGUUGAGACACAAUGGCUUAGGAAAAUGUAGUGGACAAGGAUGGUUCCAAAUUCUUUGCCGUUCUUGCCAUCAGGAGGAAUCUGGCCUUGCUCUGUGAUUUGCUUUGACCAAGAGAAUGCAAUGGAAAUAACAGUCUGGGGCUUUUGAACCCUGGCCUUAAAAGGACGGGCAUCUUUUGCUUCUCAGUUUGGGAGACCUGCUGCUAUGCUGUGAAGUCCAGACCAGGACAGUACAUGGUCAGAGGUCAUAUGGAGAGAGCGCUGGAGGACAGGAGAUUCCCUUGGAGACUACCUAGGAGACUACCUUACCCAGCUUUAGCCAAACUCUCAGCUGAAUGCAGCUGCGUGUGCGACCUCGGCCUACCCCAAUCAGAAGAACCGCUCUACUGAGCCCAUUCCACCCACAUAAUUGUGAGAAAUAAUAAAUUAUUGUGGUAAGCCAGUAAGUUUUGGAGCGAUUUCUUAUUCUGUAAUAAAUAACUGAAAAAGGGAAAUAUUUCCUGACAAUUCUUGAUUCUUUUCCCUGAAAGAUCUGUUGCUCCUAUCUUGGAAUCUUGAUGUGAACUGAAAAACAAGGCUGGAUCCAUCUUUCUAAUGCAGAUAGAAGACAUAAUGACACUAAGAGCUCAAGUGAAAGCUUACAUUAUGCAAACAAAGGAAGACCAAUACCCCAUGUGGCCUUAGGGAAACCACCAACUCCUGCUGCUGUCUACUCACCCACCCCCUCGCAAACCCUGAGAGCUUGCAACUGCAUUGUCUCGGUGGCCUUUGUGGUAGACAGAUGCAUCAUCAGAUCCCCUUUCAAGGAUGGACUUGCGGCCCAGCUGUGGGAAGUCAGUCAGCAGACGGCUUCCAGCUCCUUCGGGGUCUGCCUCAGCUGCAGAGCACAGCCUUUCCCCAAAAUGAUGCCCUUCCUGGGGCAUCCCACAUUUGGUGACUAAGUGAGGCGGGGGGUAUAAAGGCCCGAUCAUUUUUGUCUGAUGUAAGAUGCUCUGAUGGAAACUACUCUCUCUGGAGCUCCCUUGCAGGUUGGCCAAGGUUUGUCAGGCCUCUAUCAUAGUUUGGUUUUCUCCUCUGCCAAUUCUGCUUCCUACCCCUUCCUUUCUCAGGUGUUAAUCCCUAAUAAAUAUCUUGCACUCCAAACUUUGCCUCAAUGCCUGCUUCUGGAGAAUCCGUGAAGCUCUUGAUGGAAAGUUUUAUAUUGAGGGCAGGGGUAUGUUUUGAUUGCUAUGUCUGAUUUUCUGCCCACAGCCUGAUUCCCAAAAGUGGACAGAAGUACUUUCCCCAGGUCUGGAAGAUGGAGACAAAGAACCCAUGAAUCAGGCCAUCCCUCUUGGUAAAAAUCCAGACCUGGGAGAGAGAUGAAGAUUCUGUUUAACAAUUUCUGUAACAAAGCCAAAACAUGUUCCCAGGAAUUAGCUGCAUUUGGUAAUCACUGUCUCAAAUCUGUUUAACAGUUACUUUCCUCCAUUAAAUAUUGUUUUAACUUCUCAUGCCUUAUCAACUAGUUGAAUGCAAUAGUUACAUUUAUUGCUCUUUGCUUACUCUGAUUUUGUCAGUGCAACCAAGGACUUGCUGAAGACCUUUCUGGAACUGUUGGUUUCUUCGGAAAUAGUUUCUAAUGCUCCCUAAGAUGUUUAAAAUUCUAAAUUAAAAAAAAAAAAAAAAAGAAUUAUCAGAAAGUUCAAGAGAGGCAGGUGGCCAGCUCGGUCAUUCUCUCUGUGGAUUAUCCGUGGACAUGUUGAAAUCCUAGCCUGAACUUCCCUUCCACUCGAAGGACUGUGGUUAUUCUUUUCUCCAUUUUUCAGUUGUGUGUAGUCAAAGAAACAAAAUGGUUGAUGUUAGUUUUAGAAAAGCACAAUUAAGAAGCCGUAGUUGUUCACUGUUUUCUGUCUGCACACCAGGCUUUCCCCAUCCUCCUACUCCUUGUAAGCACUCUGCUUUUCUUUAGAAAACAGCCUCUUCUAUGUGGACGGGAUGCACUGCCAAACACACUGGCCACCACCCGCACUCUACCCACCUCUGUCACCACCACCACCAAGGGCAGACUUGUAGCCCUGGUCCGGUGGCCAACCAGAAUAUUCCAUCCUUCCCGCUCCAUGGCCCCCACAGGUACUUAAAGCACAGCGGUGCCGGGGAAAGAGCAAGAUGUGGGCUGUCAAAUCUCAGAUACUAUUACUAUUUGAAGCCUUAAUCAAGUUUUCCAGGUGAAACUUCUGUUUCUACAUUUAUAAAUUAGUAAAUACAAUCACAUAAUUUACAGGGGAGCUAUGAGUAUUCCAUAAAAUUGUGGAUAAGAGAGUGUGUGGCAGACCACUGGCCUGAGGGCUUGCGAAUGCUGAAGGAUUGGUAGCCAUCCUUAGCGUCUCCUUUGGCCUUCCUGACACCCCCAUGCACCAGCGACCAGCCCACAGCCGGUAAGUGGCAAAAACUGAAAUUCACAUAGGUUGGUCUAACUCCACAGUCCACCUUCCUCUCAUUACCCCAGACCGCCUCCCAUUGGUCAUGACUCUCCAAAACAGUCAAGCUUUGAGGGUGGUGGGCUCCUUCCCUUGGUUUCAAUGUAUGUAACCCCUAACAGAAGGUCUGAUUCCUGUUGGAAACUCAGGGAGAAGCCCCUGCGAAGACUGUGGCAGACCACCGUCCUGAGGACUCCAUAAGCCAAACCUGGGUCAAGGUCAAAGCGUAAGUCAUGGCUCAGGGCUUGUGCUUUUGGGGGCUGGGGGACUCACUGUGGCUGCCUGAGGAGGGCACCAGGAUGACACCAGCAUGCCAGGCGCUCCCUGUGGAUACUUAGCUUUCAAGCUGGUUUAACUACACAGGAAACACCAUGUCUCAAACAGGGAUCAGUCCUCACAGCUUAGACAUGACAAAGCUUGUCUCCUCUAUUUCAGGACCUCAGAAUCAAGUAUCAAGAAGGUGGUCUCAGGAAGUAGAUGGAGAACCUUCUUCCAAUACAGCUCCUAACAUGACUCCCUAUUUCCUGGGGAUCCUCCUUCUCUGACCUCUUUCUACCCUGAAUUCAUCCUAUUGCUGCCAUUUUAAACUUUCCAAAGCUUUGAAAAUAUGCUUAAACAUCUUCCACGGCGACAAACACUGUAUGCUUCCACUUACAUGAGAUAAUUAGAGUAGUCAGAUUCAUAGAGACGGGGUAGAACGGUGGUUGCCAGGCUCUAGGGAAGGGGGAAUGGGGAGCUGGUGUUCAGUUACAGAGUUUCAGCUUUACAAGAGGAAAAGAACUGUGGAGAUGGAUGGUGCACAACAUUAUGAAU